GUGGUUCCAUAGUGCAGUGGUUAGCUCGUCUGCUUUACAUGCAGAAGGUCCUAAGUUUGAUGACCAGUGACCACA
Non-coding RNA from Cnephaeus nilssonii (northern bat), 75 nucleotides. Lineage: Eukaryota; Metazoa; Chordata; Mammalia; Chiroptera; Vespertilionidae. The record is from the annotation of a GenBank genome assembly.